CUUUAUCUUUUCUGCAUUUUAUCUCUGCUCUAGCUUGCUUCCUUGUAAUAAACCCUUUGUUCUUUUGUAAAUUCUAUGUGCUAACAUUGUUGGCUCUGUGACACAUUGCAUGUUAUUUUCUAGAAGAUCAUCAUGCUGGUUGGCCUGCUGCACCCCCUGUCCAAGACAAUCUCAUUCUCCACGGCUAUGAACUCGACUAAUGAGAUGUCAAUCAUUUGACCCUGUGGUUCUUCAGGACAAGAUCUUGAUGCCAUCCACACUGAACAUGACAUCGUACAUGACGAAGGUUUUCUGGAAUCCACAGCGGAAGGGAUCAAGGCAUGAGAUGUUGGCUUGGACAGAUGUACCUGUACACCACACCGACCUCUGCUUUUGCAUGGAUGGCUGAUUACUAUCAUGUUCUGUAUAAGUUUUAUAAUAGCAAAACUGAGCACCUUCGACAGUGGUAGAUGUAAAGUAGUCAGACAUCAGUACAUUUAAAGUCACAGAGAGAAAGUUUUUUAUAUAAGUAUAAAACAAUUU
Non-coding RNA from Pimephales promelas (fathead minnow), 522 nucleotides. Lineage: Eukaryota; Metazoa; Chordata; Actinopteri; Cypriniformes; Leuciscidae. The record is from RefSeq and is a predicted model, not a curated record.